Cherax quadricarinatus is the source of this 2599-nucleotide non-coding RNA. Lineage: Eukaryota; Metazoa; Arthropoda; Malacostraca; Decapoda; Parastacidae. The record is from RefSeq and is a predicted model, not a curated record.
CCUGAGGUAUGGAAGACGGCAAAUGUAGUUCCCAUUUUUAAAAAAGGAGACAGAAAAGAGGCACUAAACUAUAGACCUGUGUCACUGACGUGUAUAGUAUGCAAAGUUAUGGAGAAGAUUAUCAGGAGGAGAGUGGUGGAGCACCUGGAACGGAACAAGAGUAUAAAUGCCAACCAGCACGGAUUCAUGGAAGGCAAAUCCUGUGUCACAAACCUUCUGGAGUUUUAUGAUAAAAUAACAGAAGUAAGACACGAGAGAGAGGGGUGGGUUGAUUGCAUCUUCUUGGACUGCAAGAAGGCCUUUGACACAGUUCCUCACAAGAGAUUAGUGCAGAAGCUAGAGCAUCAGGCGCAUAUAACAGGAAGGGCACUGCAAUGGAUCAGAGAAUACCUGACAGGGAGGCAACAACGAGUCAUGGUACGUAAUGAUGUAUCACAGUGGGCACCUGUGACGAGCGGGGUCCCACAGGGGUCGGUCCUAGGACCAGUGCUAUUUUUGGUAUAUGUGAACGACAUGAUGGAAGGGUUAGACUCAGAAGUGUCCUGUUUGCAGAUGAUGUGAAGUUAAUGAGGAGAAUUAAAUCUGAUGAGGACCAGGCAGGACUUCAAAGAGACUGGACAGACUGGACACCUGGUCCAGCAAAUGGCUUCUCGAAUUUAAUCCUGCCAAAUGCAAAGUCAUGAAGAUAGAGGAAGGGCACAGAAGACCACAGACAGAGUAUAGGCUAGGUGACCAAAGACUGUAAACCUCACUCAAGGAGAAAGAUCUUGGGGUGAGUAUAACACCGAGCAUGUCUCCGGAAGCACACAUCAAUCAGAUAACUGCUGCAGCAUAUGGGCGCCUGGCAAACCUGAGAACAGCAUUCCGAUACCUUAGUAAGGAAUCGUUCAAGACACUGUACACCGUGUAUGUCAGGCCCAUACUGGAGUAUGCAGCACCUGUUUGGAACCCGCACUUGAUAAAGCACGUCAAGAAACUAGAGAAAGUACAAAGGUUUGCGACAAGGUUAGUUCCAGAGCUAAGGGGAAUGUCCUAUGAAGAAAGAUUAAGGGAAAUCGGCAUGACGACACUGGAGGACAGGAGGGUCAGGGGAGACAUGAUAACGACAUAUAAAAUACUGCGUGGAAUAGACAAGGUGGACAAAGACAGGAUGUUCCAGGGAGGGGACAGAGAAACAAGAGGCCACAAUUGGAAGUUGAAGACACAAAUUAGUCAGAGAGAUAUUAGGAAGUAUUUCUUCAGUCAUAGAGUUGUAAGGCAGUGGAAUAGCCUAGAAAAUGACGUAGUGGAGGCAGGAACCAUACACAGUUUUAAAGACGAGGUUUGAUAAAGCUCAUGGAGCGGGGAGAGAGAGGGCCCAGUAGCAACCGGUGAAGAGGCGGGGCCAGGAGCUAAGACUCGACCCCUGCAACCACAAAUAGGUGAGUACAAAUAGGUGAGUACACACACACACACAUACACACACACACACACACACACACACACACACACACACACACACACACACACACACACACACACACACACACACACACACACACACACACACACACAUAUAUAUAUAUAUAUAUAUAUAUAUAUAUAUAUAUAUAUAUAUAUAUAUAUAUAUAUAUAUAUAUAUAUAUAUAUAUAUAUAUAUCUAAGAUAUAGUGCUCUAGUGUGUGGCUUUUCGUCCACACUGUAUAUUUCAUGGUUAAUAUCUCGUCACAUGAUUAAUAUCUCAUAUGAUUAAGAUUUCGUGUGAUUAAGGUCUCUUAUAAUUAAGAUGUCAUGUGCUAAAAUGAUAACCUUCCUAUACAUUAACAUUCUCCUUUCAUUUUUAUAUCUGCUGUAGAGUACCCCAGUAAGAGGUUGAAAUAUACGGACACAUUCAUCUUCUGAGUUUAUUUCUCCAUGUGGGUUAUUACUGAGCAUUGAGAAAUGUUUAUUAUACUUCUGUUGGUUAUUCAUCUCUUUAUGUGAUUAAUAUCUCAUAUAAUUAAGAUCCCAUGUGAUUAUAAUCUCGUGUGGUUAAUAUCUGACUUGAUUAAGAUCUCACAUGAUUAAGAUCUCACAUGAUUAAAAUCUCACAUGAUUAAGAUCUCACAUGAUUAAAAUCUCAUAUAAUUAAGCUCAUAUAAUUUAAGAUCUCACAUGAUAAACAUGUAAUAUAAUUCAGAUCUUCAUACAGUCAGAGCUAUCAAUAAUAUUGAUAGCCUGAUUUUAGUCUAGCAGUGACGUAUCGUAGUUCAAUUUUCAUGUUACUUUAUAAACAUGACUUGACACAUUUCAUUAUGGACUAUAGAUGUGUUAUUUCCUAUCUGCUCUGUUAUACUUUCCUCAAACUCAUUUUUUCUGGUAAUUUUUAGCCUUAUGGGUGGCAAACCAAAUUAUAUUUCAGGAUUCCUUUUAUUUUAUGUUAGUUGAGACAAGGCAUCGGCUUCAUCGUAUUCCAGGAAAAAGUAUAUGUAAGAGGGUAUCCAAAAAAAGUUUGACUUAAAUCCUGUUGUCAAUAACUAGUGCAUAUCAGAGUCUAUCUCAAAAAUACAUCAUUUUACAUGUAUAUAUAUAUAUAUAUAUAUAUAUAUAUAUAUAUAUAUAUAUAUAUAUAUAUAUAUAU